ACCCUUUUUCGGCAAGUCCUAUACAUUACAAAUAUAAGUGGUCGACAUCGAGGGAGAAAGGUUCGAGGCUAGGGUUAGAGUUCGACUCACUCGACGUUGACUGUGAGAGCGAGGGCGGUGCGCUUGCGGGCUUGAGGGGAGCGGACGUAGUAGGCGAGGUCGUUGUCGAGAACGCCAUUUGCCGUGCCCACAGGCUUCUCGGGCAACGAUUCUUAGAAAAUAGAAACUAAUGAGAGGGAAGUCGAAGUAGCGACGUUACAAAGAAGGAAUUAUGAGAUGGGAAGUCGAAGAGACAUACGUUAUGAAAAAAAAAUAAUAAGACGGGAAGCCGAAGAGGUAAACGUUACAGGGAAGGAAAGCCGAAGAGACUGCUUAGCCAUUUGGUUCAAAAGAGAGGCAAGUGAGAGUGAAAGAUAGGCUGCCACAUGGUAAGAUUAGGGAAAAUAAUGUUAAGGUAUAUAUAUAUAUAUAUAGGCUAGGGCUACUAUCCUAUUAAUAGGAUAGUAGCACUUGUCCUAUCAAAUUAUUCUUGAUGAUAGAGAUUCCGAAUCGAUGAUCGGAACCGUUGAAGUUGAUCUAGAGUAUUUGAAAUAUCUAGAAACUAAAUUUCAUAAAUUUUAAAAAUUAUUUACAUGGUGAUCAAAGUGUCGUAAAAUCGACAAUUUUUGACGGCCUAUAUGAGCCGUUUGCUUGUUUAACGGUGUAGAGUAAUCCAAAUUGCUUGAAUUUUUGAUAGAAAAUUUUUUAUACUAUUUAGAUAAUGUUUGAUAACUCUGAUUAUGAAUUGAGAAAGUCUAACCUCUAUUUUAAGAAGGUUAUUCAUUUAUGACCGUUCAUUUUUCAACUCUUAAGAUGAACUUGAUAAUAAUUUU
This 872-nucleotide long non-coding RNA is filed under the name Ananas comosus (pineapple). RNAcentral describes it as "long non-coding RNA (ACOM_LNC008647)". Lineage: Eukaryota; Viridiplantae; Streptophyta; Magnoliopsida; Poales; Bromeliaceae. The record is from RNAcentral.